GGGGUUGUAGCUCAAUGGUACAGCACUUGCCUAGCAUGUAUGAGGUACUGAGUUUGAUCCUCAGCACCA
RNAcentral lists this transfer RNA (69 nucleotides) under Ictidomys tridecemlineatus (thirteen-lined ground squirrel). RNAcentral's name for it is "Spermophilus tridecemlineatus (thirteen-lined ground squirrel) tRNA". It matches the Rfam family "tRNA". From Rfam's summary of the family: Transfer RNA (tRNA) molecules are approximately 80 nucleotides in length. Their secondary structure includes four short double-helical elements and three loops (D, anti-codon, and T loops). The record is from Rfam by way of RNAcentral. RNAcentral also lists the same sequence under 1 other name. Lineage: Eukaryota; Metazoa; Chordata; Mammalia; Rodentia; Sciuridae.